ACCAUUAGAGCAGCAUUCCUCUCCCCUCCAAAAGAAGAGAGCGCUGCAUUUUUCGCCCCAAGCAUGGCUUACCGUACAAGAUCUGCGAGUGCGCCUUCCAGCCGUUGCUCCAACGAACCCAGCAUCGAGGAUCAGCUGCAGAUUCAUUAACGAAACCAUCCGAGGAGGCUUGGAAGUGUGUCUACAACGACAUUUAGGAGAUCAUGUGCUUGACUAGCAACCAAGUCAGCCUGUGCCAACCAAAGCAAAGGAAAGCAGUGGAGGACGAGGUUGAGCGCGCGCUCCCUCUCUCUCUCCUGUUGCUUGAUUUCUUCGGUGCCAUGCAAGAGAGCAAGCUCGAGCAUUCAGGAGACAGGAGGUGCAACUGAUUAUCAAAAGGGGAGACGUUGAAGCCAAGAUUCAGUUUCGAACCCUAAAUAUGCUUUGUAAAGAAGAUGCAGAGAGCUGGAGGAGGUUCAAGAAGAUUAACAAUAGGUCUACCUUCAGCUAACCAGGAGAGCUGCAGGGUGGUCAAGCUGUUGGGUGAAGCUAGAGAUAUUGCUGUCUCAAUUCUCGAGUCCUCGUCACAUUUCCUGUCAAAGCAGAUUGCAGCAAAGUUCUAGCAAGUGGUCUUUCAACCACAAGACAUUUCCUAAAGAGAAGAGUUCUAUGUGAAGUGGAUCAGUUACAAGCCUAAAGCCUUGGAGUUGGACAUUGUAUAUCUUCAGUGUAGAUUUGGGACUUUGUUCUAAAAAAAAACUAUCCAAAGCAGAGUUUCCC
Molecule: RNA transcript, 759 nt
Organism: Zea mays
Lineage: Eukaryota; Viridiplantae; Streptophyta; Magnoliopsida; Poales; Poaceae
Exons: 1
Source: RefSeq, marked validated